RNAcentral lists this non-coding RNA (45 nucleotides) under Schistosoma haematobium. Lineage: Eukaryota; Metazoa; Platyhelminthes; Trematoda; Strigeidida; Schistosomatidae. The record is from RNAcentral.
AUCCAAAUGACGAGUCUCAAAUAGGAUGAAACGCACAUCUAGGAU